AUCAAUGUAGCAAAAUAUAUGCGAUGGAUUUAAGCUCCAUAAAUAGAAACUCUCUUUGAUAAUUUUUUUUUGAUUC
This 76-nucleotide transfer RNA is filed under the name Centruroides vittatus. RNAcentral describes it as "tRNA-Leu". Lineage: Eukaryota; Metazoa; Arthropoda; Arachnida; Scorpiones; Buthidae. The record is from RNAcentral.